CUUGUCGCGGUGCUUGGAUUGCAGCACGUGAGCCAGCUCGCGCAGGUGGCCCCGGUGUCGCUGCUCGUCGGGCCGCGCGGGGAAGGCGGCAGCCAGGAUCCGCUCCGUCACGAGAUAUGGCAACACUUGGAGAACCAAGAACUUCUUAACUACAGGGACACAUGUAUCCAGCAUCAGAUGAAAGAUUACAAAUGGCAAGAGAGAACACGCAUACCUAUCUGACUCCUUCCAGUGGUCUUUGUUCCCUCCGUCUCCUGGACCACGGCUGGAGUUCCCACUUUGGCCUUUUGGGACACUCACCCCAUCUACUUUGUUUUCAUCUGUUUGUGUGAAGAUGCAAAAAUAAAUUGAAGGCAAGUAAAAAAUUAA
Molecule: long non-coding RNA, 369 nt
Organism: Herpailurus yagouaroundi (jaguarundi)
Lineage: Eukaryota; Metazoa; Chordata; Mammalia; Carnivora; Felidae
Exons: 2
Source: RefSeq, a predicted model, not a curated record